CGCAAUUAUACCCUUUAAAGAGAACACGCGGAUCCUCCCCGGGUCGGGUCACCGCGCGGGUUGAAGAUGGCUUAAACGGCGCCGUUGCAUUAUAUUAUAAAAUCAAAUUUUUUUCACAAAAAACCUUCAUUUCUGUCAAAAUGAAAUAAAAAAAAAAAACAAAAACUCUCCUUUUCCCUCCCUCCCUUUCUACAUCCGACCAUGGAUUCCGGCCAAAAGCUCCGGCGCGUCACCAAUGUAGCGCCUUCGUGGGCGGUGGUCAUAGGCGCAAAAUAGGGCCUUUUCGGCUCCUUUUCAAAGCCGGUAGCUUCUAGGCCAUGUAUCUAAGGCCGAAUCUUGCGAAAGACGAACGAAAAGCGCAAAAACCGGAAGCAAAACCGUUCGGCCUCCCCUCCUCCGGCGCGACGUUGGAAGGAAGGUACUUCCUUUCCUUAUUCUUUUAUUUUUUUUAUGUAAAAAUAUGCGUAAAGAAAAAAAACAAACCAAAAAUAGAGUUAAAAAGAUUUGAACAGAGAAUGAAAGAAAAUCACCUCUUAAGAUUCUAAUUUUUAUUUCUUUUUUGUUUGCUAAUAUGUUUCUUUGAUUACAAAAAAGGAAGCCAAGAGCUUCAAAAUACAUUUUUCUUGGCUUUUAUAGCCGAAUGCCACUGUUUCUAUUGCCUUAUUUUCUCCGUUUUGUUUCUUUUGCAGGUGACGCCGCAAGUGGGGGGAGGCCGACGUGAUGUUGGCAGUGACGGCGUGACGUUGGCGGCGGUGGCAGAAGGCCAAGAGUCAGCAUGUGCGGCGCUAGGGCUAGGGGCAGAAGGCUGCGGUGCUAGGGUUUCAGAACUGAAACCCUAGGCAGAUUUUUGGGAAAAAUGGCUAGGGUAUUGGGCCUCGGGUUUGGGCUUUGGGUAAAAUUGGGCUUUGAUGGGUUAGAGGCUAAUUGGGUGUAUUGGGUUUUGGGGUGUAUUGUUUGGGUUGUUUUGUAAUGGGUUUGGGAAGGGUUAAAAUUGGGCUUGUACACAAUACACCCAAACCUCAGCCCAAUUACAAACUUAGCCCAGCAGAGCCAACCCACCUAAACACUAACCCAACACCCAUGACCCAAACCUCAGCCCAAUAACCCACUUGGCCCAACAAGACCCAAACCCAGAAACUAAAGUCAAAUUAGGGUUUCAGAAAAGCUGAAACCCUAGCUCCUGGCCGUCGCACGUCUGUCGCAUCACCAGCAGCCACGAGCCACCGCCAUGCCCACUUGCCGCGUCAAUCACCUGCAAACAAUAAAGAAAGACAACAGCAACAGUAGCAAAGAUGGGAUUUUUUCUUUUUCUUUGCUUUCAGCUAUAAAGCCGAAUAUUGUAAAGGAAAUAGGGUUUUUUUUCUCUUUUAUUUUUCUUCUUUUCUUUCGGUUAAAGCUGAAUAGGCUGUAAAGAAGAACUUCUUCUUCUUUUAUGAACAUUAAUAAAGAAAAAAACAAAAACAAGUUUGAGAAGGUGAUUUUUUUUACUUUUUUGCUUUUUUAUUAUUAUUUCUUUUUAUAUUUUACAGAGCAUAAUAAAAUAAAGAGGGAAAAUGGAGGCUCACUGGACGCCGUGACCACACUGUAGGAAGGUUUUUCCCCGUCACUGGAAUCAAGCCCAAAGGGGUUGAGAAUCUCCAUUUUCGGUCUUCACUGGUUGAGAGAGCGUGGCCCUCAAGGACACCAUGCGACAAGGGCUGAAAAGCCCAUUCUUUAGCGUCGUCGCCAGCCACGGCGGUGGCGUGUCAGAGGUUGAGGGAGUUCCAUGGCCAGAUGUGGGGCUGUUGAAAGAGAGGGAUUUUAAUUUUUUUUGGUGAAGGGCAUCAGAAAUGAAUUUUGAGAAAAAAAUUUGCUUAAAUAGAGAUAUAAAACGACACCGUUUCAGUCAGGGGCAUUUAGCACCAAGUUUACCUCGUUAUUUUUCUUGUGAUUUCGGUUUGGUCCUCAUUUGAACGAUGCCAUUUUGGAGGGAAAGGGAAAAUUACCCUUUCAGUCCCUCUAUGUUAUUCGCGCGUUCAUAAUAGUCCUCUUCUUUUAUUUAUUUAUAGAUUUGGCCCCGAAUUUUGUUUUAAAAUCCAAUUUAGCCUUUUUUUGUUAUUUUGAUUAUUUUAUCAUUAAAACUAAUAAAUUAUUAUUAUUAUUAGUAGUAGUAGUAGUAGUAGUAGUAGUAGUAGUAGUAGUAGUAGUAGUAGUAGUAUUAAUAUUAUUGUUAUUAUCAUCAUAGUUAUGUUUAUACUUACUAUGUAAAUUUUAAAUAUAU
Molecule: long non-coding RNA, 2260 nt
Filed under: Gossypium raimondii (Peruvian cotton)
Lineage: Eukaryota; Viridiplantae; Streptophyta; Magnoliopsida; Malvales; Malvaceae
Description: long non-coding RNA (GRAI_LNC000166)
Source: RNAcentral